This 237-nucleotide ribosomal RNA is filed under the name uncultured bacterium. RNAcentral describes it as "partial 16S ribosomal RNA". It matches the Rfam family "Bacterial small subunit ribosomal RNA", at positions 532 to 769 of the family's 1533-position model. The record is from RNAcentral.
GGGCAAGCGUUAUCCGGAAUUAUUGGGCGUAAAGAGUGCGUAGGUGGUUGUGUAAGCGAGAGGUUUAAGGCAGUGGCUUAACCACUGUUCGCCUUGCGAACUGCAUAACUUGAGUGCAGGAGGGGAAAGCGGAAUUCCUAGUGUAGCGGUGAAAUGCGUAGAUAUUAGGAGGAACACCAGCGGCGAAGGCGGCUUUCUGGACUGCAACUGACACUGAGGCACGAAAGCGUGGGGAGC